This is a small nucleolar RNA of Dendrobium catenatum, 106 nucleotides long. NCBI's taxonomy places the organism in Eukaryota, Viridiplantae, Streptophyta, Magnoliopsida, Asparagales, Orchidaceae. The record is from RefSeq and is a predicted model, not a curated record.
AUACAAUAUGCAAGCAUAUUCUAAGGUUUUCCUUAAAUUGUUCCCAACUCCCAUAAAUGGAUUCUCCUUCAAACUGAGAAAAAAAAGUUAUGUCAUUUCUAAGUUU